RNAcentral lists this ribosomal RNA (1027 nucleotides) under Acinetobacter sp. RNAcentral describes it as "bacterial SSU rRNA". It matches the Rfam family "Bacterial small subunit ribosomal RNA", at positions 440 to 1470 of the family's 1533-position model. The record is from RNAcentral. Lineage: Bacteria; Pseudomonadati; Pseudomonadota; Gammaproteobacteria; Moraxellales; Moraxellaceae.
CUACUUGGAUUAAUACUCUAGGAUAGUGGACGUUACUCGCAGAAUAAGCACCGGCUAACUCUGUGCCAGCAGCCGCGGUAAUACAGAGGGUGCGAGCGUUAAUCGGAUUUACUGGGCGUAAAGCGUGCGUAGGCGGCUUUUUAAGUCGGAUGUGAAAUCCCUGAGCUUAACUUAGGAAUUGCAUUCGAUACUGGGAAGCUAGAGUAUGGGAGAGGAUGGUAGAAUUCCAGGUGUAGCGGUGAAAUGCGUAGAGAUCUGGAGGAAUACCGAUGGCGAAGGCAGCCAUCUGGCCUAAUACUGACGCUGAGGUACGAAAGCAUGGGGAGCAAACAGGAUUAGAUACCCUGGUAGUCCAUGCCGUAAACGAUGUCUACUAGCCGUUGGGGCCUUUGAGGCUUUAGUGGCGCAGCUAACGCGAUAAGUAGACCGCCUGGGGAGUACGGUCGCAAGACUAAAACUCAAAUGAAUUGACGGGGGCCCGCACAAGCGGUGGAGCAUGUGGUUUAAUUCGAUGCAACGCGAAGAACCUUACCUGGUCUUGACAUAGUAAGAACUUUCCAGAGAUGGAUUGGUGCCUUCGGGAACUUACAUACAGGUGCUGCAUGGCUGUCGUCAGCUCGUGUCGUGAGAUGUUGGGUUAAGUCCCGCAACGAGCGCAACCCUUUUCCUUAUUUGCCAGCGGGUUAAGCCGGGAACUUUAAGGAUACUGCCAGUGACAAACUGGAGGAAGGCGGGGACGACGUCAAGUCAUCAUGGCCCUUACGACCAGGGCUACACACGUGCUACAAUGGUCGGUACAAAGGGUUGCUACCUAGCGAUAGGAUGCUAAUCUCAAAAAGCCGAUCGUAGUCCGGAUUGGAGUCUGCAACUCGACUCCAUGAAGUCGGAAUCGCUAGUAAUCGCGGAUCAGAAUGCCGCGGUGAAUACGUUCCCGGGCCUUGUACACACCGCCCGUCACACCAUGGGAAUUUGUUGCACCAGAAGUAGGUAGUCUAACCGCAAGGAGGACGCUACCACGGUGAACCCA